CAUUGCAGAGCAGCGGCGCGUUAAUUACUCUAUGCCAACGCGGCGAAGUAGUGACGAAAAAUAGGACUGGGUAGCGCUUUGCGUUAUCUUUGUCCAAUGAGAGCAAUGUAAAAGCCUCAUCGAGGAUCCAUUGGAGGGCAAGUCUGGUGCCAGCAGCCGCGGUAAUUCCAGCUCCAAUAGCGUACACUAAAGUUGUUGCAAUUAAAAAGCUCGUAAUCUAAUGUAUGGGAGUUGCGGUGUGGGUGUUUGGUUGGUUUUGCCGACUAGACAAUACUCGCUCCGCUUCCCGCUUGUUUUGCUCUCUUUUCUAGAAGGCAAAUGUUUCACUGUAAGUAAAACAACUCGCUCAACAGCAAGGUUAUCUUGAUAUGAAUUAGUAUGGGAUGAUGAGAUAGGCUCGGUCCGUAUUUUGUUGGUUUUAGUGGUCUGAGAAUGAUGAAGAGGGACAAUUGGGGGUAUUCGUAUUUACAUGUCAGAGGUGGAAUUCUUGGAUUUUGGAAAGACGAACUAAUGCGAAAGCAUCUACCAAAGAUGUUUUCAUUGAUCAAGAACGAAAGUUUGGGGAUCGAAGAUGAUUAGAU
Molecule: ribosomal RNA, 581 nt
Filed under: Thraustochytriidae sp. ANACC TC_036
Lineage: Eukaryota; Bigyra; Thraustochytrida; Thraustochytriidae
Description: SSU rRNA
Rfam family: Eukaryotic small subunit ribosomal RNA
Source: RNAcentral